RNAcentral lists this long non-coding RNA (1778 nucleotides) under Mustela putorius furo (domestic ferret). RNAcentral describes it as "lncRNA (ENSMPUG00000027708.1)". The record is from RNAcentral. Lineage: Eukaryota; Metazoa; Chordata; Mammalia; Carnivora; Mustelidae.
GAGGCUGGCCCUUCAGUAACUUUUUCAGAAAGUCAACAGUAUUCUGAAGAGACAGCCUACAGUGGUUUGUAUUUAUUGCUGAUAAGCACGAGGUUUUUAAGGUGGGAAGACUGGCCUCCGCCCCGGGCAGACCUUGGGCAUCAUCAGCUUGUGUCAGCGGUUCCAUAUUCUCAGUGCCUUUCCCACAGACUUCAGCGGGGGCGAAACACCUUUCGCCUGACAGCUUCACCCUUCUCAAAAUGUGUUGUUUCUUCACUGGCAAAACCAGUAUCACAGUUUAUACCAGGAUCUCCCAGGGAAAUCCAUGGAGACCUGAAACGUGUCUCCAGCUUUCAGAAAUCACCAGCGGAGGACCGCACAGGUGGUCUAGGACCAAGUGGAAAUGGAUCUAUGGCAGGCAGGAGGCCAUCCACGGCUCUGGAGAGCUCCCUAGCUCUGCCUCCAAAGGCCUGUGUUCUCUGGGUCUCAACUGAAGGCUCAGAACCUUGGGGACGCUCUACCUCUAAGGUAAACAGUUGCCUGACAACCAGAGCACAGCAGUUGCACUGGGGGAUGGGGAGGCCAGCCAGCUUCGAGGACACAGUUGCCCUCUCACUUUGCCCACAGCGGUCCCGGAUGACCAGGUUCCGGCCUUCCUUCAGGUGGAUGGUGAGGAGAACCUGAUGCUAAGUGGAACUACGCGAUGGUGACGAUUGUCCCUUCAUUCUGGAGACACACGUGAGAGCUGUCACAGGGAGAGCUGCGUGGUACACAGGAAGCUGCCAAGGUAUACAACACUAGCGGUCUGGUUAAAUUGGGCCAGUUGUGCAGAGAAGGGUUUAGGCUUCCGUUUGCCGAGAGGACACAUGGGAGCCAUAUAAAACAGCUCAGGAAAAACUUGUCAAAAACUUUCAAUUUUCAGAAAUGUAUUUGUUUAAAUUCAGAGUGAGAUUGAGUCUACAUUUUUCUGAAUAACAAAUGUCGUUAGAAAUAAUACCACCACACUGAGGGCUUGUCACACUUGUUCACUUGAAAUUCUCAACUCCACGUGUUUUCUAUACCAAGUCUACCCCUGGUUUUUUUCCUUUGAGAGGGAGUGGGGAAGGCACAGGGGGAGAAGGAGAGAGAGACUCAAGCAGACACCCCACUGAGCGUGCCUAACUCAGGGCUCAGUCCCAGGAUCCCAAGAUCGUGACCUGAGCCGAAGGCGAGUUGGAUGCUUAACUCACUGCCCCCGCAGGUGCCCCUUAAGUCCACGUCAUUUUGAUAUGAUGAGUUUUCUACUCUUGGUAAGUUUUCGUUGAAACCUAAGUAAACUUCACUGAGUAACUUUUGACAACAAUUACAAAGUAAAUUUUAAAAUGACACCGUGAAUUAAACAUAGUUUUAUUUGUCACAGUGCCAGAAUGUUUAUUAUGUGAAAUGAAGUGAAAGUAUAAUGCAAAGCAAAUGACAUUUGUUGUCGUAUAUUUUCCUGGUUUGCAGUGUGUGUAUACAGCGGGCGGUUGUGUGGAUUUGACUUUUUUUUCCAACCACAAAAAGGUUUUUCCUUUUUUUUUUUAAGAUUUUAUUUAUUUAUUUGAUAGACAGAGAGAGAUCACAAGUAGGCAGAGAGGCAGGCACAGAGAGAGAGAAGCAGGCUCUCCACCUAGCAGAGAGUCCGAUGCGGGGCUCGAUCCCAGGACCCUGAGAUCAUGACCUGAGCCGAAGGCAGAGGCUUAACCCACUGAGCCACCCAGGUGCCCCAACCUUUNNNNNNNNNNNNNNNNNNNNNNNNNNNNNNNNNNNNNNNNNNNNNN